This 778-nucleotide ribosomal RNA is filed under the name Escherichia coli. RNAcentral's name for it is "partial 23S ribosomal RNA". It matches the Rfam family "Bacterial large subunit ribosomal RNA", at positions 2144 to 2916 of the family's 2925-position model. Lineage: Bacteria; Pseudomonadati; Pseudomonadota; Gammaproteobacteria; Enterobacterales; Enterobacteriaceae. The record is from RNAcentral.
UAGGUGGGAGGCUUAGAAGUGUGGACGCCAGUCUGCAUGGAGCCGACCUUGAAAUACCACCCUUUAAUGUUUGAUGUUCUAACGUUGACCCGUAAUCCGGGUUGCGGACAGUGUCUGGUGGGUAGUUUGACUGGGGCGGUCUCCUCCUAAAGAGUAACGGAGGAGCACGAAGGUUGGCUAAUCCUGGUCGGACAUCAGGAGGUUAGUGCAAUGGCAUAAGCCAGCUUGACUGCGAGCGUGACGGCGCGAGCAGGUGCGAAAGCAGGUCAUAGUGAUCCGGUGGUUCUGAAUGGAAGGGCCAUCGCUCAACGGAUAAAAGGUACUCCGGGGAUAACAGGCUGAUACCGCCCAAGAGUUCAUAUCGACGGCGGUGUUUGGCACCUCGAUGUCGGCUCAUCACAUCCUGGGGCUGAAGUAGGUCCCAAGGGUAUGGCUGUUCGCCAUUUAAAGUGGUACGCGAGCUGGGUUUAGAACGUCGUGAGACAGUUCGGUCCCUAUCUGCCGUGGGCGCUGGAGAACUGAGGGGGGCUGCUCCUAGUACGAGAGGACCGGAGUGGACGCAUCACUGGUGUUCGGGUUGUCAUGCCAAUGGCACUGCCCGGUAGCUAAAUGCGGAAGAGAUAAGUGCUGAAAGCAUCUAAGCACGAAACUUGCCCCGAGAUGAGUUCUCCCUGACUCCUUGAGAGUCCUGAAGGAACGUUGAAGACGACGACGUUGAUAGGCCGGGUGUGUAAGCGCAGCGAUGCGUUGAGCUAACCGGUACUAAUGAACCGUGAGG